Molecule: ribosomal RNA, 468 nt
Filed under: uncultured bacterium
Lineage: Bacteria
Description: partial 16S ribosomal RNA
Rfam family: Bacterial small subunit ribosomal RNA
Source: RNAcentral
GACGAACGCUGGCGGCGUGCUUAACACAUGCAAGUCGAACGGAAAGGCCCUGCGUUUGUGGGGUGCUCGAGUGGCGAACGGGUGAGUAACACGUGAGUAACCUGCCCUUGACUUUGGGAUAACUUCAGGAAACUGGGGCUAAUACCGGAUAGGAGCUGCUGCUGCAGGGUGGGGGGUGGAAAGUUUCGGCGGGUGGGGUUGGACUCGCGGGUUAUCAGCUUGUUAGUGGGGGAGUGGCUUACCAAGGCUGUGACGGGUAGGCGGCCUGAGAGGGUGAACGGCGACAUUGCGCCUGAGAUACGCACCAGACUCCUAUGUGAGGCAGUGGGCGGGAAUAUUACACAACGGGCGCAAGCGUGAUGCGGCAGCGCCGCGGUUGGGAUGACGGCCUUCUGGUUGUAAACCGCUUUAGCCUGUGACGACGCGGGUGUGACGGUAAUGAGUAAAUAAGCACCGGCUAACUACGUG